AUACGUAGGGGACAAGCGUUAUCCGGAUUUACUGGGCGUAAAGGGCGUGUAGGCGGUCUUGCAAGUCAGAAGUGAAAUUCCUGGGCUCAACUCGGGCGCUGCUUCUGAAACUGCAGGACUUGAGUGCUGGAGGGGGUAGCGGAAUUCCUGGUGGAGCGGUUAAAUGCGUAGAUAUUAGAAGGAACACCAGUGGCGAAGGCGGCUUGCUGGGCUGUUACUGACGCUGAGACACGAAAGCGUGGGGAGCAAAUAGGAUUAGAUACCCUAGUAGUCCACGCCGUAAACGAUGAGUACUAAGUGUCGGGUAACCGGUGCUGAAGUUAACACAUUAAGUACUCCGCCUGAGUAGUACGGUCGCAAGGCUGAAACUCAAAUGAAUUGGCGGGG
RNAcentral lists this ribosomal RNA (387 nucleotides) under uncultured bacterium. Its description in RNAcentral is "partial 16S ribosomal RNA". It matches the Rfam family "Bacterial small subunit ribosomal RNA", at positions 523 to 918 of the family's 1533-position model. The record is from RNAcentral.